RNAcentral lists this ribosomal RNA (403 nucleotides) under uncultured bacterium. Its description in RNAcentral is "partial 16S ribosomal RNA". It matches the Rfam family "Bacterial small subunit ribosomal RNA", at positions 30 to 526 of the family's 1533-position model. The record is from RNAcentral.
AUUGAACUCUGGCGGCAGGCCUAACACCUGCAAGUCGAGAUAGCGGCGGACGGGUGAGGAAUGUAUGGGGACUGCCCGCUAGAGGAGGAUAACUACUGGAAACGGUAGCUAAUAACGCAUACUAUCGGAUAACCCAUAUGGGAUUAGCUAGUUGGUGAGGUAAUGGCUCACCAAGGCGACGAUCCCUAGCUGGUCUGAGAGGAUGAUCAGCCACACUGGGACUGAGACACGGCCCAGACUCCUACGGAGGCAGCAGUGGGGAAUAUUGCACAAUGGGCGCAAGCAUGAUGCAGCCAUGCCGCGUGUAUGAAGAAGGCCCUAGUGUUGUAAAGUACUUUCAGUCGGGAGGCGUUACCGACAGAAGAAGCACCGGCUAAGUCCGUGCCAGCCGCCGCGGUAAUAC